GGGCGGAUGGCGGAAUUGGUAGACGCGCCAGACUCAAAAUNNGGCCGUGGAGGUUCAAGUCCUCUUCUGCCCACCA
This 76-nucleotide transfer RNA is filed under the name Candidatus Saccharimonadota bacterium. Its description in RNAcentral is "tRNA-Leu". It matches the Rfam family "tRNA". Rfam says of the family: Transfer RNA (tRNA) molecules are approximately 80 nucleotides in length. Their secondary structure includes four short double-helical elements and three loops (D, anti-codon, and T loops). The record is from RNAcentral. Lineage: Bacteria; Candidatus Saccharimonadota.